GACGAACCGUGCGGACGUUGUUCGGAAUCACUGGGCUUAAAGGGCGCGUAGGCGGGCUGCCGCGUCCGGGGUGAAAUCCCACGGCUCAACCGUGGAACUGCCUCGGAUACGGGCGGUCUCGAGGGGGGUAGGGGCACGCGGAACUGUGGGUGGAGCGGUGAAAUGCGUUGAUAUCCACAGGAACUCCGGUGGCGAAGGCGGCGUGCUGGACCCCAUCUGACGCUGAGGCGCGAAAGCCAGGGGAGCAAACGGG
This 253-nucleotide ribosomal RNA is filed under the name uncultured bacterium. RNAcentral describes it as "partial 16S ribosomal RNA". It matches the Rfam family "Bacterial small subunit ribosomal RNA", at positions 524 to 776 of the family's 1533-position model. The record is from RNAcentral.